GCUCUCCUCCGCGCCGGGCGGGCGGUACGGCGGCUCUCCCCAUCCCGCAGUGGCGCGCAGGAUCCGCCAGGGAUCAGGCCAUCACCGGGGAUGAAUCUGAGCCCGCCGGGGCGCUGCUCCGGCCACGGGAGGCUCGGCAGCAGACAGGGCCCGCCGCUGGAUUUAUGGAGCACGUCUCUUGUCCCAAGGGCUCCCCUCCUUAACCCCUCACCCGCGGGCGGCUCAGCCCCGCCAUCCCCGCGGAGUCGGGACGCCAAUUGACACCUCGAGGCGAGGUAUUUCGGGUUUUAUUCUAGUUUGCGCAAAGCAGACAGCUGGCUGGUACCACACAAAAGUCUAGCCCAGUGAUCAUCAAAACUUUACACUUGCUAUAUACCUUUUAACAAACAAAGGCACCGGCCUUCCUCGGUUACCAACUAUGUAAGUUUUCUAUUAAUUAGUAUUCAAACAACUAUUUGGUAGUAACAUCUCGCUUCUCGUGCUAAUUAGUCCACAGGCGCAGUUCUUUUUUUCCAGUUGAGUUUGGAGUCCCUUCUGGGUAGGUGGCCAGUGAGUUGCGAUCUCACACUGCCGAAAUUACGUUUCUCCCAGUUACUGCUCCAUUCUCCUGACUUCAGUCCUGAUGGCUCUCGUCCAGACAGCCCAUUCACCUUGGGAUUUUCUUUCCUUUUCCUAAAAAGAAAAAUAUAUUACCCGAGGGUGCGACGUGCACAAUUCUGCCGCACCUGGGCGCGCACCUGGCUGGCAGGGACGGGGCGCUGGCACGCCGUGCACACUGCGCAUGCGCGCGCCCACCGGCCGUGCCGUGUGCAGCGGGCAGCGGCGCGGGGCCAGCGCGUGCGCGGUUGCCGGGGCGACUGGAACACAACAUGGCGGCCUGAGGGGAGCGCCGGGAGUGGGGCCGGGUCGGGCCCGGCCGCUGAUCCGCCAGCCCCGGCACCGGCGGGACGGCGCGGGAGGCACAGUAAGAGGGGAUGAAAGCCCUGGCUCCCUUUCACUGGUAUGUGAAUUUAUGGCCAUGACUAUUUAUGAGCUGAUAAAAGUACAGAAUGGGAUAUUUCAGAGCGAUGGGCAACAAGAAAACAUAAUAAUAAAGCAGAACAGCCUGAAGUUAAGAGAAUUUGGAUCUUGUAGGAGUAUCUGUUCUCAGCAGGCACACAGUACCUCCCCUCGCUGGUACUGAGCACCUCAGUGUUUGCUUACAAAAGGGCUCUGUAGCUACAGAAUUGGCAUGUGGAGUCCUGGCUGUGUUUUCUAUGAAAUCACAAGCUACUGUGUUCAGUGGAGGGUUUUGCUUAUCGUUAAUCAAGAUAAUCAAAGGUAAAUAACUCAAAUUAGGAGCAUGUGGUUUGGAUAAUGUGAUCUUCGUUUCCAUGGAUUUGUAGAAGAAGCUUCUGUGCUUAGUGUCCUUCUCUUAACUUCAGUAAUCCCAUCUGGUCUGGCACUCCCUUCACCCUGUGGCAGGUUAGUAAUAAAGCAGUUCAGGAGAACA
This 1492-nucleotide long non-coding RNA is filed under the name Junco hyemalis (dark-eyed junco). RNAcentral describes it as "lncRNA (ENSJHYG00000011669.1)". Lineage: Eukaryota; Metazoa; Chordata; Aves; Passeriformes; Passerellidae. The record is from RNAcentral.